This 450-nucleotide ribosomal RNA is filed under the name uncultured bacterium. Its description in RNAcentral is "bacterial SSU rRNA". It matches the Rfam family "Bacterial small subunit ribosomal RNA", at positions 354 to 796 of the family's 1533-position model. The record is from RNAcentral.
GUGGGGAAUAUUGGACAAUGGGCGAAAGCCUGAUCCAGCCAUGCCGCUUGUGUGAAGAAGGUCUUCGGAUUGUAAAGCACUUUAAGUUGGGAGGAAGGGCAGUAAGUUAAUACCUUGCUGUUUUGACGUUACCGACAGAAUAAGCACCGGCUAACUUCGUGCCAGCAGCCGCGGUAAUACGAAGGGUGCAAGCGUUAAUCGGAAUUACUGGGCGUAAAGCGCGCGUAGGUGGUUCGUUAAGUUGGAUGUGAAAGCCCCGGGCUCAACCUAGGAACAGCAUACAAAACUGGCGAGCUAGAGUACGGUAGAGGGUGGUGGAAUUUCCUGUGUAGCGAUGAAAUGCGUAGAUAUAGGAAGGAACACCAGUGGCGAAGGCGACCACCUGGACUGAUACUGACACUGAGGUGCGAAAGCGUGGGGAGCAAACAGGAUUAGAAACCCCAGUAGUCC